GCAGUCGUGGCCGAGUGGUUAAGGCGAUGGACCAGAAAUCCAUUGGGGUCUCCCCGCACAGGUUCGAAUCCU
RNAcentral lists this transfer RNA (72 nucleotides) under Ixodes scapularis (black-legged tick). It matches the Rfam family "tRNA", at positions 1 to 61 of the family's 71-position model. Rfam says of the family: Transfer RNA (tRNA) molecules are approximately 80 nucleotides in length. Their secondary structure includes four short double-helical elements and three loops (D, anti-codon, and T loops). Lineage: Eukaryota; Metazoa; Arthropoda; Arachnida; Ixodida; Ixodidae. The record is from Rfam by way of RNAcentral.